AUACUUACCUGGCAGGGGAGAUACUAUGAUCACGAAAGUGGUUUUCCCAGGGCGAGGCUUAUCCAUCACACCCUGGAUGUGCUGACCCCUGCAAUUUCCCCAAAUGAAAAAAAAUUCAAAGAAAGUAAAAGGCCAUCCUGCUAUGCAGACAGGAGAUGGA
This is a small nuclear RNA of Mandrillus leucophaeus (drill), 160 nucleotides long. Its record names the gene U1. It matches the Rfam family "U1 spliceosomal RNA". From Rfam's summary of the family: U1 is a small nuclear RNA (snRNA) component of the spliceosome (involved in pre-mRNA splicing). Its 5' end forms complementary base pairs with the 5' splice junction, thus defining the 5' donor site of an intron. NCBI's taxonomy places the organism in Eukaryota, Metazoa, Chordata, Mammalia, Primates, Cercopithecidae. The record is from Ensembl.